GACGAACGCUGGCGGCGUGCUUAACACAUGCAAGUCGAACGGAAAGGCCCUGCUUGCAGGGUACUCGAGUGGCGAACGGGUGAGUAACACGUGGGUGAUCUGCCCUCCACUUCGGGUUAAGCCUGGGAAACUGGGUCUAAUACCGGCUAGGAGCCAUUUUUAGUGUGAUGGUUGGAAAGUUUUUUCGGUGUUGGAUGAGCUCGCGGCCUAUCAGCUUGUUGGUGGGGUAAUGUCCUACCAAGGCGGCGGCGGGUAGCCGGCCUGAGUGGGUGGACGGCCACAUUGGGACUGAGAGACGGCCCAGACUCCUACGGGAGGGAGCAGGGGGGAAGAUUGCACAAUGGGCGCAAGCCUGAUGCAGCGACGCCGCGUGGGGGAUGACGGCCUUCGGGUUGUAAAAUCCUUUCGCUAGGGACGAAGCUUUUUGUGACGGUACCUAGAUAAGAAGCACCGGCUAACUACGUG
Molecule: ribosomal RNA, 465 nt
Filed under: uncultured bacterium
Lineage: Bacteria
Description: partial 16S ribosomal RNA
Rfam family: Bacterial small subunit ribosomal RNA
Source: RNAcentral